This 329-nucleotide unclassified non-coding RNA is filed under the name plant metagenome. RNAcentral describes it as "partial contains 5.8S ribosomal RNA, internal transcribed spacer 2, and large subunit ribosomal RNA". The stretch from base 1 to 105 matches the Rfam family "5.8S ribosomal RNA", at positions 50 to 154 of the family's 154-position model. The record is from RNAcentral.
GAAAUGCGAUAAGUAAUGUGAAUUGCAGAAUUCCGUGAAUCAUCGAAUCUUUGAACGCACAUUGCGCCCUCUGGUAUUCCGGGGGGCAUGCCUGUCCGAGCGUCAUUGCGAACCCCUCAAGCACGGCUUGUGUGAUGGGCCCUCCCGCGUCUUGGUCGUCAAGACGGGCCCGAAAUGCAGUUGCGGCUUCGCGGUUAUCCGAUCAGCCAGAGCGUAUGGGGACUUUCUCUCUGUCACACGCCCGCGGCGCGGACCGACGCCUGUCGACCUUCAUUCAUCGUUUUCUCGGUUGACCUCGGAUCAGGUAGGGAUACCCGCUGAACUUAAGC